Transfer RNA from Camelus ferus (Wild Bactrian camel), 72 nucleotides. It matches the Rfam family "tRNA". Rfam says of the family: Transfer RNA (tRNA) molecules are approximately 80 nucleotides in length. Their secondary structure includes four short double-helical elements and three loops (D, anti-codon, and T loops). Further hydrogen bonds mediate the characteristic L-shaped molecular structure. tRNAs have two regions of fundamental functional importance: the anti-codon, which is responsible for specific mRNA codon recognition, and the 3' end, to which the tRNAs corresponding amino acid is attached (by aminoacyl-tRNA synthetases). tRNAs cope with the degeneracy of the genetic code in two manners: having more than one tRNA (with a specific anti-codon) for a particular amino acid; and 'wobble' base-pairing, i.e. permitting non-standard base-pairing at the 3rd anti-codon position. The record is from Rfam. NCBI's taxonomy places the organism in Eukaryota, Metazoa, Chordata, Mammalia, Artiodactyla, Camelidae.
GAGGGUAUAGCGCAGUGGUAGAGUUCAUGCCUAGCAUGUAGGAGGAUCUGGGUUCAAUCCCCAGUACCUCCA